RNAcentral lists this microRNA precursor (82 nucleotides) under Cuculus canorus (common cuckoo). Its description in RNAcentral is "mir-199 microRNA precursor family". It matches the Rfam family "mir-199 microRNA precursor family". From Rfam's summary of the family: This family consists of the microRNA (miRNA) precursor mir-199 which appears to be specific to humans. Animal miRNAs are transcribed as ~70nt precursors and subsequently processed by the Dicer enzyme to give a ~22nt product. The record is from Rfam by way of RNAcentral. Lineage: Eukaryota; Metazoa; Chordata; Aves; Cuculiformes; Cuculidae.
GCUCAGGCUUCCCAGUGUUCAGACUACCUGUUCAGGAGGGUCGAACGCUGUACAGUAGUCUGCACAUUGGUUAGGCCGGGUU